This 465-nucleotide ribosomal RNA is filed under the name Vreelandella stevensii. Its description in RNAcentral is "partial 16S ribosomal RNA". It matches the Rfam family "Bacterial small subunit ribosomal RNA", at positions 338 to 795 of the family's 1533-position model. Lineage: Bacteria; Pseudomonadati; Pseudomonadota; Gammaproteobacteria; Oceanospirillales; Halomonadaceae. The record is from RNAcentral.
CCUACGGGGGGCAGCAGUGGGGAAUAUUGGACAAUGGGCGAAAGCCUUAUCCAGCCAUGCCGCGUGUGUGAAGAAGGCCUUCGGGUUGUAAAGCACUUUCAGUGGGGAAGAAAGCCUUGGGGCUAAUACCCUCGAGGAAGGACAUCACCCACAGAAGAAGCACCGGCUAACUCCGUGCCAGCAGCCGCGGUAAUACGGAGGGUGCGAGCGUUAAUCGGAAUUACUGGGCGUAAAGCGCGCGUAGGCGGUCUGAUAAGCCGGUUGUGAAAGCCCCGGGCUCAACCUGGGAACGGCAUCCGGAACUGGCAGGCUAGAGUGCAGGAGAGGAAGGUAGAAUUCCCGGUGUAGCGGUGAAAGGCGUAGAGAUCGGGAGGAAUACCAGUGGCGAAGGCGGCCUUCUGGACUGACACUGACGCUGAGGUGCGAAAGCGUGGGUAGCAAACAGGAUUAGAUACCCUAGUAGUC